RNAcentral lists this ribosomal RNA (465 nucleotides) under uncultured bacterium. RNAcentral describes it as "partial 16S ribosomal RNA". It matches the Rfam family "Bacterial small subunit ribosomal RNA", at positions 28 to 507 of the family's 1533-position model. The record is from RNAcentral.
GACGAACGCUGGCGGCGUGCUUAACACAUGCAAGUCGUACGGUAAGGCCCUUUCGGGGGUACACGAGUGGCGAACGGGCGAGUAACACGUGAGUAACCUGCCCACAACUUUGGGAUAACGCUAGGAAACUGGUGCUAAUACUGGAUAUGUGCUCCUGCUGCCUGGUGGGGGUUGGAAAGCUCCGGGGGUUGUGGAUGGACUCGCGGCCUAUCAGCUUGUUGGUGGGGUAGUGGCCUACCAAGGCGGCGACGGGGAGCCGGCCUGGGGGGGUGACCGGCCACCUUUGGGCUGGGGUACGGCCCAGACUCCUACGGGGGGCAGCAGGGGGGAAUAUUGCACAAUGGGCGCGAGCCUGAUGCAACAACGCCGCGUGCGGGAUGACGGCCUUCGGGUUGUAAACCGCUUUCAGCAGGGACGAAGCUUUUUGUGACGGUACCUGCAGAAGAAGCACCGGCUAACUACGUG